This 742-nucleotide ribosomal RNA is filed under the name uncultured bacterium. RNAcentral's name for it is "bacterial SSU rRNA". It matches the Rfam family "Bacterial small subunit ribosomal RNA", at positions 8 to 796 of the family's 1533-position model. The record is from RNAcentral.
AGAGUUUGAUCAUGGCUCAGAGCGAACGCUGGCGGCAGGCCUAACACAUGCAAGUCGAACGGACUCUUCGGAGUUAGUGGCGGACGGGUGAGUAACACGUGGGAACGUGCCUUUAGGUUCGGAAUAAGCUCGGGAAACUGGGUCUAAUACCGAAUGUGCCCUUCGGGGGAAAGAUUUAUCGCCUUUAGAGCGGCCCGCGUCUGAUUAGCUAGUUGGUGGUGUAAUGGACCACCAAGGCGACGAUCAGUAGCUGGUCUGAGAGGAUGACCAGCCACAUUGGGACUGAGACACGGCCCAAACUCCUACGGGAGGCAGCAGUGGGGAAUCUUGCGCAAUGGGCGAAAGCCUGACGCAGCCAUGCCGCGUGCAUGAUGAAGGUCUUAGGAUUGUAAAAUACUUUCACCGGUGAAGAUAAUGACUGUAGCCGGAGAAGAAGCCCCGGCUAACUUCGUGCCAGCAGCCGCGGUAAUACGAAGGGGGCUAGCGUUGCUCGGAAUUACUGGGCGUAAAGGGAGCGUAGGCGGACAUUUAAGUCGGGGGUGAAAUCCCAGAGCUCAACUCUGGAACUGCCUUUGAUACUGGGUGUCUUGAGUGUGAGAGAGGUAUGUGGAACUCCGAGUGUAGAGGUGAAAUUCGUAGAUAUUCGGAAGAACACCAGUGGCGAAGGCGACAUACUGGCUCAUUACUGACGCUGAGGCUCGAAGGCGUGGGGAGCAAACAGGAUUAGAUACCCCGGUAGUCC